This 253-nucleotide ribosomal RNA is filed under the name uncultured bacterium. RNAcentral's name for it is "partial 16S ribosomal RNA". It matches the Rfam family "Bacterial small subunit ribosomal RNA", at positions 524 to 776 of the family's 1533-position model. The record is from RNAcentral.
UACAGAGGGUGCAAACGUUGUUCGGAAUUACUGGGCGUAAAGCGCGUGUAGGCGGCCCUGCAAGUCGGAUGUGAAAUCCCACGGCUCAACCGUGGAAGUGCAUUCGAAACUGCGGGGCUGGAGUACUGGAGAGGAAGGUGGAAUGCUCGGUGUAGAGGUGAAAUUCGUAGAUAUCGAGCGGAACACCGGUGGCGAAGGCGGCCUUCUGGACAGUAACUGACGCUGAGACGCGAAAGCGUGGGGAGCAAACAGG